This 292-nucleotide ribosomal RNA is filed under the name uncultured bacterium. RNAcentral's name for it is "partial 16S ribosomal RNA". It matches the Rfam family "Bacterial small subunit ribosomal RNA", at positions 773 to 1060 of the family's 1533-position model. The record is from RNAcentral.
GUGGAUUAGAUACCUUGGUAGUCCUGGCUGUAAACGGUGUGCACUUGCUGUGAGCGGAAUCGACCCCGCUCGUGGCGAAGUUAACUCGAUAAGUGCACCGCCUGGGAAGUACGGUCGCAAGAUUAAAACUCAAAGAAAUUGACGGGGGCCUGCACAAGCGGAGGAGUAUGUGGCUUAAUUCGAUGCAACGCGAAGAACCUUACCUGGCCUUGACAUGUAGGUAGUAGGAGCCUGAAAGGGUGACGAGGUAGCAAUACCAGCUUACACAGGUGCUGCACGGCCGUCGUCAGCU